This 498-nucleotide ribosomal RNA is filed under the name uncultured bacterium. RNAcentral describes it as "partial 16S ribosomal RNA". It matches the Rfam family "Bacterial small subunit ribosomal RNA", at positions 29 to 523 of the family's 1533-position model. The record is from RNAcentral.
AUUGAACGCUGGCGGCAUGCUUUACACAUGCAAGUCGAACGGUAACAGGCCGCAAGGUGCUGACGAGUGGCGAACGGGUGAGUAAUGCAUCGGAACGUGCCCAGUCGUGGGGGAUAACGCAGCGAAAGCUGCGCUAAUACCGCAUACGAUCUCUGGAUGAAAGCGGGGGACCGAAAGGCCUCGCGCGAUUGGAGCGGCCGAUGUCAGAUUAGGUAGUUGGUGGGGUAAAGGCUCACCAAGCCAACGAUCUGUAGCUGGUCUGAGAGGACGACCAGCCACACUGGGACUGAGACACGGCCCAGACUCCUACGGGAGGCAGCAGUGGGGAAUUUUGGACAAUGGGCGCAAGCCUGAUCCAGCAAUGCCGCGUGCAGGAAGGAGGCCUUCGGGUUGUAAACUGCUUUUGUACGGAACGAAAAGGUCUGGGUUAAUACCCUGGGCACAUGACGGUACCGUAAGAAUAAGCACCGGCUAACUACGUGCCAGCAGCCGCGGUAA